RNAcentral lists this unclassified non-coding RNA (256 nucleotides) under plant metagenome. Its description in RNAcentral is "partial contains small subunit ribosomal RNA, internal transcribed spacer 1, and 5.8S ribosomal RNA". The stretch from base 208 to 256 matches the Rfam family "5.8S ribosomal RNA", at positions 1 to 49 of the family's 154-position model. The record is from RNAcentral.
UUUCCGUAGGUGAACCUGCGGAAGGAUCAUUACUGAGUGAGGGCCCCUCGGGGUCCAACCUCCCACCCGUGUUUAACGAACCUUGUUGCUUCGGCGGGCCCGCCUCACGGCCGCCGGGGGGCAUCUGCCCCCGGGCCCGCGCCCGCCGAAGCCACCUGUGAACGCUGUCUGAAGUAUGCAGUCUGAGACAAUUAUUAAAUUAAUUAAAACUUUCAACAACGGAUCUCUUGGUUCCGGCAUCGAUGAAGGACGCAGC